UACGUAGGUGGCAAGCGUUGUCCGGAUUUACUGGGUGUAAAGGGCGUGUAGCCGGGAAGGCAAGUCAGAUGUGAAAUCUGGAGGCUCAACCUCCAAAUUGCAUUUGAAACUGUUUUUCUUGAGUACUGGAGAGGCAGACGGAAUUCCUAGUGUAGCGGUGAAAUGCGUAGAUAUUAGGAGGAACACCAGUGGCGAAGGCGGCCUGCUGGACGGUGACUGACGCUGAGGCUCGAAAGCGUGGGGAGCAAACAGG
RNAcentral lists this ribosomal RNA (253 nucleotides) under uncultured Oscillospiraceae bacterium. RNAcentral's name for it is "partial 16S ribosomal RNA". It matches the Rfam family "Bacterial small subunit ribosomal RNA", at positions 524 to 776 of the family's 1533-position model. The record is from RNAcentral. Lineage: Bacteria; Bacillati; Bacillota; Clostridia; Eubacteriales; Oscillospiraceae.